AUGAAAUCUGAAAGUGCAAGAGGCAGCCCCCUUCCAGUGUGUGAACGUCUUGUAAAAGUUUCCUUUGAAACAACUGUGAUGAGUCAGUUCGCUAUGUUUGCAAGAAAAAAGAAAGUGCUAGCCAUGCAUAUACUGUGGCUCUUCUUUAAGGUAGCCAUUGCGGGAAAAACAAACCAAGACCAAAAAAACCCAACGCUACCAGCAAAAUUCAUUUUGUUUCUGCUCAGACAUUGGAUGGAAGGACUAAAUUACCAAGCACAGGCACACAUUAUACAGACAGUGAUUAUCCGUGGCCAGUGUUUACAGCGUCUCAUGGAAAGGAUGGAUGUAGAGAGUCGAGCCUAUACAAUGUGGUUUUGAUCAAGGGUGUUUACAGGAAAGGUGGAACGCUUCUCCUUACUUUUCUCUGUCCCACAGUUCUGCAUUCACCUGUACCCCAGGUACUUUUUAACCAGUCUCUCCUCUUGAGUCAAGUUCUAUCCUCACUAAUUAUAUAACACACGGGCCAUCACACAGAGCAUGAUAUGCUUAGAGUGUCGAAGGGACUCACUCACUUGUUAUUGUUAAGCUUAAUAUUAGCACCUUUGACUUCCCAGUGAAAUAUUUUGGGGCAUGUCUCAAAACUGGUGCAUGACAAUAGGCAAAUCACUUAGGGCCAGAUGUGCAAAAGUAUUUAGGCACCUUGAGAUGCAGAUGGUAGAAUUUAUAAAAGCGCCUACGCAGGUUAGGUGCUUAACUCCCAUUGAAAGUCGAUGAGAGUUUGGUGUCUAACAAACACCCUUCAAAUGUUUUUGCCCAAGCAGAAUUGUGUCCAAAUGUCCAUUUUGGAACCUGUGGGGUGGUUAGGACACUCACCUGGGAUGUGGCAGACCCACAUUCAACUCCAUGCUCUGCCUGAUUCAGAGAAAGUUUUUAAUCGCAGAUCACACUCAUUCAGGCAGACCAGGGACAUGAACCUGGGUUUUCCCCAUCAUUAGCAGUGUCCAAGCCACCAGGAUACAGGAGGGGAGUCUGAGCUCUCCUUGAAACGGAUAUGUAUCCACAAAACACUGGUGAAAUUUCAUUUUGCCAAAAAUAUUCCAACCAGCUUUAGUCUCACUAUCAGUUAGGGCUUCUAGGCUUUAAUGUAAUACUUCUACUAAUAAAUAACAGUAACAAACAGCA
RNAcentral lists this long non-coding RNA (1164 nucleotides) under Chrysemys picta bellii (western painted turtle). RNAcentral's name for it is "lncRNA (ENSCPBG00000010232.1)". The record is from RNAcentral. Lineage: Eukaryota; Metazoa; Chordata; Testudines; Emydidae.